UGGAUUUAGGCACAAUGCGCGGCCUGCAAAAUUCGAGAUAACCGACGUAAACUGUUUUAAUUAACCGUGCGUCGGUUAUUUUUUUGC
This 87-nucleotide small RNA is filed under the name bacteria symbiont BFo2 of Frankliniella occidentalis. Its description in RNAcentral is "Enterobacterial sRNA STnc240". It matches the Rfam family "Enterobacterial sRNA STnc240". The record is from Rfam by way of RNAcentral. Lineage: Bacteria; Pseudomonadati; Pseudomonadota; Gammaproteobacteria; Enterobacterales.